This 681-nucleotide long non-coding RNA is filed under the name Homo sapiens (human). RNAcentral's name for it is "HSALNT0298583". The record is from RNAcentral. Lineage: Eukaryota; Metazoa; Chordata; Mammalia; Primates; Hominidae.
GCCACACAUGUUAAGGACCCUCAGCCCAGGGAGGUGGCUUUAAUCUUGGUUCUCCAGUGUCAGGAAGAGAUCCUUCAGUCAUGGGGUAAUCAGGAAGUCUCCUAGGAUAAGGUUAUUAUAUUCAAGUCCUGCCAAAAAAUGUAAGAAAAGAAGCUCCUAUUUGAGUGGACCAAAAAGAACAAUUAUACCUCCUAAAAAUAAAAUGAACCUAAGCUAAGAAAAUGAAAAGGUUUCUAAAGAAGGUCAGUACUUCUUUUUUGGUCUCCUUUCAUCACUGUGUGAUUUACUUUAAUAGUACCCUGUCAAACUAGAUGACUCAGUGGCCUCAUCACAGCUUACAGAGCAUUUCAUCUGUGGUCAUUCAUCCUGCCUAUGAAGAAAUUGACAUGUAGUCACUACAGAGCAACACUGCUCACCAAUGGUUGUUCACCACCAUACCCUCCUGAUCCUUGCCUAAUCAAACAGAGAGAUGCUAUCCUGCUUUUACCUACACAGAAAAAGAAAGAAGAUAAAACAAUGUUAGGGGGUUGUGGCUCAUUGAUGGUCAGAUAUGAAAAGCUGCUUCAAAUGCUGUCCCAUCAGUUCCUAAAACUGCAACAUGAAAAUGCAUCAUCAUGACUACCCUUUACCUAUCUCCCAAGCGUGAAAUUGUUUUCCCCAGUAAAAGUUUAAGGAAAUGAA